GACGAGGGUGUGACGGAAGUCCGGUGAGAAUCCGGCACGGUCGCGCCACUGUGGACCCGCGGUUCGCCGCGGGAAGUCAGACCCGGCACCUUCGUC
This 96-nucleotide non-coding RNA is filed under the name Streptomyces sp. Lineage: Bacteria; Bacillati; Actinomycetota; Actinomycetes; Kitasatosporales; Streptomycetaceae. The record is from RNAcentral.